UACGGGGGGGGCAAGCGUUGUUCGGAAUUACUGGGCGUAAAGGGUUCGUAGGCGGCUUGCUAAGUCAGACGUGAAAUCCCUCAGCUCAACUGGGGAACUGCGUCUGAGACUGGCGAGCUUGAGUGCAGGAGAGGAAUGCGGAAUUCCAGGUGUAGCGGUGAAAUGCGUAGAUAUCUGGAGGAACACCGGUGGCGAAGGCGGCGUUCUGGACUGCAACUGACACUGAGGAACGAAAGCCAGGGGAGCAAACGGG
This 253-nucleotide ribosomal RNA is filed under the name uncultured bacterium. RNAcentral's name for it is "partial 16S ribosomal RNA". It matches the Rfam family "Bacterial small subunit ribosomal RNA", at positions 524 to 776 of the family's 1533-position model. The record is from RNAcentral.